CGGACGUAUGCUAUAAAUUGAUAUGUACGAAUCAAAUUUCGCAUGGGCAAGCAAUAAAAUGGAAUACAGUGCACCCUGCUGCAAUGAUUCAUUACAUGGGGGAACAAUUUUGAAACUCGCAAACUCACGCGUGUGUGUUAAAGCGCCUCGGUUUGAAAACUGUUAUUUUGACGCGGGUAGUUACAUACCUCGCCUUCGGCUCGGAUAUGCAAACUCUACCCUAGUCAAAAUAACAGUUUUCAAACCUUGGCGCUUAAACACUCACUUGUGAG
Bradysia coprophila is the source of this 272-nucleotide long non-coding RNA. Lineage: Eukaryota; Metazoa; Arthropoda; Insecta; Diptera; Sciaridae. The record is from RefSeq and is a predicted model, not a curated record.